Molecule: ribosomal RNA, 642 nt
Filed under: Margarites pupillus
Lineage: Eukaryota; Metazoa; Mollusca; Gastropoda; Trochida; Margaritidae
Description: partial 12S ribosomal RNA
Source: RNAcentral
GACAGACGGAUCAAAUUAAGAUUUGUACAGUAAAAAGGGGGUUAAGAAUGGUGAUGAGUUUGAGAGAAAUAUUAUGUUUCCUAAAAAGGUUAAAUUUGAAUAGGAAAAAUUAAUCUUUUGAUUUCUUAGUUUUGAGGCCCCGAAAUUUUAACAUAAGACCGGGAUUAGAUACCCCGUUAUUUGAACCUUAAAUUUUAAUUGUUAUAAUAAUUUACUUGAGCAUUACGAGUGCAGGCAGAUAAGUUUAGACUGAAUAAUUUGUUUGUUCUACCUUAAAACUCAAAAAACUUGGCGGUGCUUUAAAUCCUCCCAGGGGAACCUGUCCUAUAAUUGAUAAUCCACAAUUUAACUUUCCUUUUAUUGAAAGUCUUAUGACCUUCAGCUUGUAUACCGUCGUCGCCAGAUUACCUUUAAGAGUAACAAAGUUAUCGGGGAGAGAAGAAAUGCUAGUGUGGUAAAAUAAUUUACCAUAGUGUAUUUAUCUCUGAACGUCAGAUCAAGGUGCAGCCAAUGAAAAGGUAGUGAUGGGUUACAAUAGCUAUUUGCUAUACGAAUUUCUUACUGUAACAGUAGCUUGAAGGAGGACUUGGAAGUAAUUAGUAGAGUAAGAGAGCUCUGAUGAAUAGUGGCUCUAAGGUGUGU